CCACCCAGAUAGAACAGAGGGCUGACUUACGAUGUUUUGAUUGAGGAAGGCACCCAAAUGUGAGGUGAACUUCAGGUUUAGAAUCCGUACCUUUUCCCAGGCUGGUGACAUGUGUCCCACCAACACCAGCAAUGCUGGGUGGUCACUGUCAGCCGCCUUGUCACAAGCAGAAGCCCCGGAGACCGCAGUGUGCCAAGUAGGAUGGCCGGGAGUGUGGGCGUAGUCGUGCAUUUGGACGUGGGGUGUUCUCAGCUCACACCAGUUCCGUAGUGAGUUCCCCGGGUCACUUAUCUGAAGCAGAGGUGGAGCCUGACCCCUCCCCUUGUGGCCUUCCCAUGAUUCCCUGUGGUGGACCAGUCCCACGUGACCUGGCUGGGAGGGGGGUCCCCUAACAAUUCUAGCCUGGUGACACCCUGAGAUUUUAGCCAAAACCCAAUGCGUGUUCUCUGCUGGUUCCGUACACCACGAUUUGGUUUGUGCCCAAGUGCUUCUCUUUAAUGCUGAACUCACUUGGGCUGGUCCUAGGAGACUCAAGCAUCUCCUCCUUGCCACCCGCAGGAACGGAGUUAUCAUUUGAGGAUGCCCGAGCCUUGGGUUUUCAGUGAAUCGGUACCCUCGUCAUCGUCGUCAGCAUCAGCAUCUCCGUCAGCACAGUCUGCUCUCUGUCCUCUUUCUGUCCCUUCUCGGCUUCCUUUUCCUCUUCUCCUCCUCCCGCUCCUGCUGCUCCUCCUCCUCCCUCACUGACAUCGUCAUCUCCAUGAGCGCAGUCUUCUCCUCGCCCUCAUCCUUUUCCCUCCCCUUCUGCUCCUCCUCCGUCAUCCACAUUGUCACCUCCAUCACCACGAUGUCCUUCCGCCCCCUGCUGCCCCCCACUCCUCCUUAACACUAGGAAGGAAAAGGAAAGAAGGGCGGGGUCAGGUUGGGUGGGAGGUCCGAGGUCGGCGAGGUCCUCCCAGCGGAUGGCGAAGCCUCGGCGGGGUUGGUUUGGACUCCUGGGUCUGUUUGAGGAACAGCGAGCGAACAGGCCCACGGGAGUCUGGGGCACUCGGGGAACGCUUUAUUUACUGAUGGAGGAGCAGAGAGAACAAAUAACUGACCCCCACACUCCGGGGAGGGCCAGGCCCAGAAUCCCGCCCCGGAAAGGUGGAAGGAGGAAGUGUAGGGUGGGUGGAAACGAGAGGGGUGGGGAGGCUAGACCAAGAGGGGAGCAGGAAAGGGCUCGGGAGAGGAAGAGGAGGUGGACGGGGUGAGCGGUGGGGAGAUGGAGGAGAGGAGAGGCUGGGGCAUGAAUGGGAGGUGGCCAUGGCCAGGGCCUCAGCAAAUGGAGUUGGAUCCUUGGGUGGGGACGUGUGAGUGAGGUGUGAGUGGACCCUGGGAUGAAGACAUCCGGUCCAUCUUGCGCCACUGGUCGCCUGGAGUGUGUGGGCCUUUCCUGGACUGCUGCGGAAAAUCUGCCCGUCUCAGAGAGACAAGAAACAGCAGGCUGUGGGGGUCCAGCUCUUCCCGAACCCCUUUCUUUCUAAUUUGCACAUUUGGGGGCAGCCUGGAGGCUGUGGGAAGCUGAGAAGUAGGUGGGCCUGGGUUGGCUGGGGACUCGAAACUGAGAUCACUCACUGAUCGUGGACGGGCGCACUCUCCCCUGUGUGGUCUGCCUCAUUGUUUCGCAGGAGGGUUAGUAACGGGCGUAGGUGUCGGCGCCAUUCUAACUUAGGGCUUCAAAGCUCAUCUGUUUUCUGCCCGUCACACGGUGAAGCACAAACCCAGCAGAAAUCAAGUAACGCAAGGAGGCUGGAAGUCCGAGGUCCAGGAGUGGACAAGUCAGCUCCUUCCGCGGCCUCUGUCCUGGGCUUGUCGGUGGCCGUCAUCUCUCUGUGCCAUCCGUGGUCUUCCCUGUGAGCCUGCGUCCUGAUCGCUCACAGAGACAGCAUUCAGAUUGGAUGGGAAUCCAGUGCGAUAACCUUAUUUUAUCUUAAGUAUCUCUUUCUAGGCCCUGGCCCCAAAUAGAGUCGCUUUCUGGGGUACUGGAGGUGAGGACCUGGACAUGUGGAUUUUGUCAGGGACACGAUUCAGCCCGUUACACACGGAGUCUCUCAGUGAGGAUGAGGGAGCUGUAUCUGCCAGUGGAGGCACCGUGGGAGGAUGUCAGGCUGGGUCGUGCUGGCUGGGAGGGGCAGAGAGAAGACGUCUCUUUUAGAAAAGCCAACCUGCUCCUGUGGCCAUCACUUGUCAACUACAAGAGAGGCUGGAUUUUAGCGUCUCUGCUGAAGUGGUACUUGAUGAGAAUUUCUGGUUAGUCCUGUCACACCCAAUGGUGUGUGAACUAGACCAUGACUUUGAGAAGAAACUGUGGUCCCCAAACAGGGCUUUCAGACAGGAGAAGGCAGCUGUUUCUGUUACGGGAAGCCUUGGUCUGCCAUCCCACCGGAAGUCUGUCUGGGAGGUCUUCUGCCGGCUGGCUAGUCCCAGCCAUGUCCCAAUAGAGACCCAGUGCCCAGAAGGGCCUUGUCCUCCUGCGGCCCAGCACCGGCACCCCUGUGCUGUUCCAGUCCCCAUCUGCCAACUUGCCCAGGCUCUGAGUCCAGGCUGUCAACUAACUGGGCCCCGAGGACAGACGCCUCGCACAACUCCUGAGGACAUGGUUCAGCUCCUUGACACUCAUAGGAGGUCACUGCAUGAAGUCCUUCCCUUCUAAGCUUGAGGCAGAACUGUAAGCAAAGAAGGCAUGACAUGUUGGCUGUCUUCCCGGGUCACAGCUUUGCAAGCUGCUGCUGCAGAGAAAAGAGGAUUCUGCCUCAGUAGGCAGAAAGUAGCGCUCUGACCCAGGCGAAGAGAAGUUUUCACUGUCCAUUACCCAGCCGUGUCUCUGGGCAAAUCACUGCUCCUCUUUGGUCCUCAGUUGUCACACCAGUCCCAGGACUAGGCUGAGGUCUGGAAUGUGACUGGAUUUGGUGAUGGGCCCUUAAAGAGACGGCUAAAUUAAAAUGAGGUCAGCAGGGUGAGCGCUACUCUAACACCCCCAGGGGUUCUAAUGAGAACAGGUGAUGAGGACACAGACACACAGAGUGGAGACCACGUGAAGAUGUCUGUUGACAAGCCCAGGUCAGCCCUGGAGCCCCCCACCUCGCCAACUCCUUGCACACGGCCACGGCAGCAUCUCACCACGGGGACGUUUCCAUGGGCCAGCGGGACUUCUCCCGGCCAGCGUUCUCUCUGGCCCAGAGGUUUUCCCUGAGCAGGCCCAAGGCUGGAAGUGUGGGUGCAACCCUGCAGCAGCCCUCACCCAAGGUGGUGGGGGUUGGAGGUACACACCCAGCUUCUUCACCCUCAGCUGGGCACCUCUGAAUGCGCCUCCCAGGGGCCCUGCAGGAGGUCAUCGCCUGCUGUCUGACUCCUCCUUCCCACCCCCUCGCUUCCCAUCUGGAUUAUGCCUUAGUCUGUUCCUUCUGCUGUGACAAAAGCCCCUUCCACUGGGAGUCCAAGGGCAAGGUGCUGGCAGAUCCAGCGUCUGAGGAGAGCCUCACUUCCUCGAUGGCUCCUUCCUGCUGUAUAAGUGGUGGGAGGGGCCAGCUAGGUUCCUUCAGCCUCUUUCUCAAGGUCACUAGUCCUAUGAUGAGGGAGGAUCUCUCAUAACCUAAUUGUCCCCAAUCACCUGUCAAUUCCACCACACUGGGGACUUGGGGGGGCACCAAUAUUCAGACCAUAGCAGGUCUCCUCCCAAA
Molecule: long non-coding RNA, 3719 nt
Organism: Fukomys damarensis (Damara mole-rat)
Lineage: Eukaryota; Metazoa; Chordata; Mammalia; Rodentia; Bathyergidae
Exons: 5
Source: RefSeq, a predicted model, not a curated record